UACAGAGGUGGCAAGCGUUGUUCGGAAUUACUGGGCGUAAAGGGCGCGUAGGCGGCUCGACAAGUCCCGCGUGAAAGCCCCCGGCUCAACUGGGGAACUGCGCGGGAAACUGUCGGACUUGAGUUCGGGAGAGGUGAGUGGAACUGCGAGUGUAGAGGUGAAAUUCGUAGAUAUUCGCAAGAACACCAGUGGCGAAGGCGGCUCACUGGCCCGAUACUGACGCUGAGGCACGAAAGCGUGGGGAGCAAACAGG
This 253-nucleotide ribosomal RNA is filed under the name uncultured bacterium. RNAcentral describes it as "partial 16S ribosomal RNA". It matches the Rfam family "Bacterial small subunit ribosomal RNA", at positions 524 to 776 of the family's 1533-position model. The record is from RNAcentral.